AUGUAUCAGAUUGUCUUAUUUAUCCAUCUGAUUUCUAGCUUGGUCUCUCCUGAGAACCACAGAGUGACCAUGAUGCUGUUUCUUCUUCUCUUCAUGUCUUUGGUUUGCUCAGCACUAUCAGUGGAGAGCUAUGGGAAAGACUUCAUCACUGCAUUCCCAGAAAACAUUGCAUACUACUAUCCACAGGAGUCCUCAAACACGCUCCAAAUUUCUGCUUUCUACAACCACACCCUCGUCUCAAUCAGCGUCAACUACACAAACGUAUAUAAUGAUAAGCUACAGUCUGGGCAGACUAAAAUUGUGCAUUUCCCCAAGUACAUUGAGCAAUAUCAGUUCACAAAAUCCCCUCUUUUAGUCAAAGUCAACAGCACUGAAAAUAUCGUGGUGCACUGGCUCAGUAAACGCAGCAACAGCGUGCAGUCUAACAUCGUUCAACCUGUAAGGAAUCUCGGAACACUGUAUUCAAUCCCAUUUAUCAAUUACAAUCAGAUGAUGGCGUCCUUUUACAAUAUGUCAGAUCAGUUAGCUCCGGACAACUGGAGAUACAAUUCAUUCAGGCUGAUCGUUAUCAAUGCCGAGAACACUGUGAACUUUAUCAUAGUCCAAAAUAUCAGCGCGGAUGGUCAAAAAGCAUUUAGAAUUAUGCUCAGGCCUUACGAACUUUACCAGUUUCAAACUAACGGUUCGGACAUUAAACUGUACUCUAACUCCAGCAUAGCUGUGAUGUUGACCCACCCGUGUGUAGAAACUACUGAAUGUGAUUGCAAUAUGGUGGUGAGCCACGUUCUCCCCCAAAAGCUGUGGGGUGACACGUUUGUUGUGCCAUUGGUGAAGAACCUGAAUACCUCCUGGCUGCAAGUGACUAACACAGCGGAAGUAUGGCUGAAUGGCAGAAAUAUAAAAACUCAACAGUCCAAUUCCUCAGAGCUAAUUCCGUUCCCAGAACUUAAUAAUGCAUCUCAGUUCAUCAGUGCAUCAAAUGUGGUGUCCAUCAGACUUAUGAGUCCAGGCCUCGUCUUAGAGCUCAUACCAGAAACCAUGUACGCCGCUUGUUACCUGGUUCAGAUGAACUCGACAGAGGGUGAGGCUGUUAUCAUAGCUCCAACAGCCAGUAUGGACAAUGUGUAUAUAGACGGCCAAUUACUGAACUCCACUGGCUGGAAACCCAUUCCCUAUUCAAACUACUCUUCCAUAUCUGUGUCGCUUAAUGGUGUGCAUGUCAUCUGGCAUCCAACCUCCAGGAUCGGAGUGUACAGGUUUGAGAAGAUGGAGAGUGGAAUUCCUUAUGGAAGCCCGGCUGUCAUUUUAAACAAAAACCCAGAUCGUAAUGGAUGUUUGGCAGAUUCUGCACAAUUUAAGACCACUACUAAUGUCAUGACAUGGCAGCAAUCCUAUCAAUACUGCCUAAAUAUAGCUUACCAGCUGAGCACACCAAGCAGUGAAAUGGCCCAAAAACAGAUGACCAACUUUCUGCGAAACACCGGAAGUCGCAGAUACUUCUGGAUCGGUCUGCGACGCAGUAACUCCAUGUCUGAGUGGUACUGGCAGAAAGGCAAUGACACCCAAUACAGUGUGAGCUACACGAAGUGGGCUAGAGGGCAUCCAGAUAAGCCCUGGAAAGCUUUGUGUGCUGCUGUGUCCCAAGACGACAACAAUGAGUUUACCUGGAAGAGUUUGGCCUGUUGCGCCAGACUUAGGCCAGUCUGCUACAAACACAGUGAAUACUUUAGUGAUAUGACCUUUAAUACACUAUACGAUCAUUUUAACAUCACUUAACCAAAGGUCUGUCCUUCUUGCCAAAAUUCUUGACCUGAAGUUAGUAACUGCAGUAAUAAAUCAUAUUACAGAAGUUUAGUCAUGGUUCUUGGUCAAAUUAAUCAAAGUGCUUAUUUAUAGAAAAGCUUCUCACUGUCUGUUACUUUAUAGAAAUUUGGUUGUUUUUAUGCGUGUAACAUAAAUCAAUAUUUGCAUGUAAAAAUAUAUGGAUCUUCUGAAAAGAGAAAAAAAAACGACAUAUUAUUAGUUAUAUAUCAUAUUUUAUGGCUUCAUAUACUAUUAUUGCACAAACCAAAACUGAAUAGCCUCUCAAAUAUGACAACUAUCAAAACUUUAAUGUCUGAUGUAAUGCAUGGUGAUCUAAAUGAAGGCGACUAAAGUGAAAUGACUGUAGGGGAAUACAAGCAUAUGUCACUAGAUCACAGUGCUCUUAUUAAUAUCACCUAUAUUUGGCUUGAUUCUGGUGCAUUAUGGGUGUGUUGGUUGAAGUUUUCGGCUCACCGUCGUCUCCAUUCUGUGAUGUAAUUUAGGUAAAUCAGAGGUUUUAAUCACAGACAUCUAUAGACAUUCAACAGUUUUUAAUUUUAAUCAGUCAUACACAUGUUUUGCUUGUAAUUAUGAGUCACUUGCGCUGGUUUACAAAUAAAUAAAUUCAAUAAAUUACUUUCAAAUUCAUAAUCUGUGUUUUCCAUUUAUCUCACCCUGUUUAUAUGGGUUUAUGGUUUAUUUAAGGCAUAUCUAUGUCAUAAAUGUGAAUUGUUAGUAUCACAUGUGAGUGAACUUGUGGCGUAAAGUAGGAUACUUUCCUGUUUUGUUUUCAUUAGCAUCGCCGAAUGUGCAGUGUUUUUGUACUAAAUACUGGCAAAACGGUUGCAAUAACAACCGUAAGCUUGUUUUUAAAAUGUUUUUGCUAAUGGAUCAGCUGUAUGAUGUUUUAUUUUUGAGAAUUUAGUCUUGCGCAGCCAGACCUUCAGACUGACGGCUGAAGAUCUGGAAUCCAUGGCAGCUUUCUAAGGCCCGCCCAUGAGGCCGUUUGACCGACAUGUCAAACAACCAAUCAUAGAUCAUUUCGUUCAGCUUCACGUUUCGGGUAGUGGAAAUGUCGCCACAAUAAUAGACCGUGUGUAAACUCUCAGACAUAUUUGAAAGAUGUUAUCACACAAACUUUAAAUAUUUCACAUACCUUUGAAACUCCAGUGUUUAUAUGACACUGAUAAGCACUCGUAGUCACAGUUGUAACCUCAA
This is a long non-coding RNA of Carassius auratus (goldfish), 3021 nucleotides long. Lineage: Eukaryota; Metazoa; Chordata; Actinopteri; Cypriniformes; Cyprinidae. The record is from Ensembl.